UAAUGAAAUGGAAGAAUUUUUUUUUUUUAUUAAAGAACAAUCAUUUUAAUCAUUAAACAAUUUGUAAUAAUUUAUCUACACAAUUUCUUUUUCUUUUGCAGCAGCAAUUACUACACUCUCAACUGCUCUUCCCUCGACUACUCCUCCCUCGAAUACUGUUCCUUCAACUACUGUUCCCUCGACUACUGUUCCCUCAACUACUGUUCCUUUAACUAUUGUUUCCACAACUGCUCUUCCCUCGACUGCUCUUCCCUCGACUGCUGUUCCCUCACUGGUAACAAAUGGUUCAACUUCACCAGAGAAUGUGAUGGUCAUACGCCUCAAAGUUAUUUCAAUCAACGACUUGAUGGAAGCGAACAGUUCACAGAUACUUCUACAGCUCAAAGAGAUGCUGAUAGACGGAGGAAUUCCAAACAACUUCACACUUCGUUUGAGAUCCAUUAAAAAGAAUUCACCCUAGAAGGAGGGGGGUCACACAACUAUUAAAUGUUGUUGCUUAUUAAAGGCC
Astyanax mexicanus (Mexican tetra) is the source of this 508-nucleotide long non-coding RNA. RefSeq lists it as uncharacterized. Lineage: Eukaryota; Metazoa; Chordata; Actinopteri; Characiformes; Acestrorhamphidae. The transcript has 3 exons. The record is from RefSeq and is a predicted model, not a curated record.